Molecule: ribosomal RNA, 483 nt
Filed under: uncultured bacterium
Lineage: Bacteria
Description: partial 16S ribosomal RNA
Rfam family: Bacterial small subunit ribosomal RNA
Source: RNAcentral
AUUGAACGCUGGCGGCAGGCCUAACACAUGCAAGUCGAGCGGAUGAAGGGAGCUUGCUCCUGGAUUCAGCGGCGGACGGGUGAGUAAUGCCUAGGAAUCUGCCUGGUAGUGGGGAUAACGUCCGGAAACGGGCGCUAAUACCGCAUACGUCCUGAGGGAGAAAGUGGGGGAUCUUCGGACCUCACGCUAUCAGAUGAGCCUAGGUCGGAUUAGCUAGUUGGUGGGGUAAAGGCCUACCAAGGCGACGAUCCGUAACUGGUCUGAGAGGAUGAUCAGUCACACUGGAACUGAGACACGGUCCAGACUCCUACGGGAGGCAGCAGUGGGGAAUAUUGGACAAUGGGCGAAAGCCUGAUCCAGCCAUGCCGCGUGUGUGAAGAAGGUCUUCGGAUUGUAAAGCACUUUAAGUUGGGAGGAAGGGCAGUAAGUUGAUACCUUGCUGUUUUGACGUUACCAACAGAAUAAGCACCGGCUAACUUCGUG